Molecule: long non-coding RNA, 4271 nt
Organism: Diceros bicornis minor
Lineage: Eukaryota; Metazoa; Chordata; Mammalia; Perissodactyla; Rhinocerotidae
Exons: 3
Source: RefSeq, a predicted model, not a curated record
CGGGAGGCUAGUCCCGCCCGCCCUGCGCCCCGGCGCUCUAUUAAGGUCGAUUGGAGUUAAGUCUGCCUGGGGUCUUUGGCCACCUCAAGGGCGCGUUAGCAAACUGGGGCCCUGACCCCGGCCGGGCGGCCUUCCACGCGCCCUCCCCGAAAUUGUUUCGCGAGUUGGCAGUGUUGUUUAAACUGCAGUUGGCAAGAUGAGUUUAGUGGGUCGUGACAAGCACUUUUUUUUUUUAAGUAACCUGCAGUGCGGAGUUGGCGUAUCCCCUGCUUGCCCCCGGUCCACCAAGUUCUAAAGGAAGUUAGUCGGGAGCUUCCCCGUCCGUUCAUUAGGACGGCGUUCAGCCCAGUUUUGUGCAGGGCCAGUACGGCCAGGCCUGGGGAGGGAGGGUGGUAGCCCGUUACGGCACCGGGGCCCUCGGCAGGCGGGCGGGAAGGGACCUAGAGGCCCGCGUGGGCUGAGCUAGGACAGGAGCGGGCAGCUGUGGAGCGCAGAAAUUAAAAGAACCGCACACGUGGGUAAACAAAUACAAGCUCUGAGGAGGGCCAGGAGCCAGGGAAGGUCUAAGCUGGGGCAGUUUCGCUCAGACAGGAAGGCUGAGAGGGAUGACCUGCUCAGCUUCCUUGCCUGGAAAUUGUACCUCUCUCCACCUUCCCGUGAGCCCCAAGGAUGGGCUGGCUGGUGUUUUCUGGGUACAACUGAGGCAACCAGCUGGCGCUGGUGCUCCUUAUGUGUUACCAGAACAAAUCCGUCCCCUCUCCCCCUGAGGAGGCCAUCCAUCCUGGCUGAGGAACCAGGUGGAGAAGCCAAGAUAAAAGUCACGCAGAGCCUGGAGGGUGGUGUUCGAGAGGCCAGAGAGGUCAGCCAAAGCCGCGCCUUGCAGAACAUGACCCACCUCGUCAUGAGAGAGGACGCUGCUGCUCCGGAACCGCACAAACUGGCCCAAGGAGAGAAGCCCCAGACAUGCAGUGAUUUGGCAUCUCCUUCAGUCAUAGUCAUUUCCUGUGCUUCUGCUGUGCUCAGCACUGGGCCUGGGACAGAGAUCUGAAGUCCACAAAACCCUACCUUCAAGGAGCUCAGAGUUGGUUGGUAGGGGUGGGGUUGUGUCAUGGAGAGUAGGAUAAAUGAGGCAGACUGGGAGACCCUGAGAGAGCUGGCCCUGCUGACCCCUUCAGUUCCCACCAGCACCACCACCUGCCCACCACCCCUUGGCCAUGCAUCUCACACUCAUGGCCAAAAUGGACUAUGUGUGGUUACACAAACACACCACCAUGUACUUGUGUACCAGCUAUUCUCACUUCACUACGUGGAAUAUGUUUCCUUUUCUGCCUAUUAAUCCUGCAAGCCUCAGCUAAAAUGUUACCUUCACUGCUAAUGUUCUUUCAUUUUAUUAAAGAAAUACAGGCAUUAAUUGAGUGCUUAUUACAUUCUCAUUCACUUCUCCCUCCCAGCUCUGGCAGAAGCAAUUACUCUUUUCUCAGUGUUCCCACACCAACCACUGAUUAAUUCAUUGAUCCACUUGACUAUCAUUCACAGGCUCACUGCUUUGUUGUUUAUUUAAUGGGCACUAACUGUGUGCCAAGCACUUAGCAUGUCUUCUACUGUACUCUACCACUAAUAACAUCAUAUUUUAACUAUUAGUUUCCUUGUCUAUCUUCUCUAGACUGAGGGCCCCUUAAAGGCAAAGCAUUUGGUUCAUCGACAUCUUUGGUACCUAGCAUAGGAUCUGGCAUAUAGUAGGCAGCCCUGGUCAAUGUUUCAUGAGUGAGUGAAUGAAAGAGAGUGUCCAGGUCUUCUGACGCAAGGAGAUGUGGGCAUUAGAGAAACUCUCUGAGCAGGCCUCUUGUAGAGUGAAGGCCUGCCGAGCCUCUCUACCUUCUUUGAGGAUUAGGGUUAGCUAAAGUAAGGUGUCCCUGGCCUCCUCAGGACCACCUAGCUCAUGACAUUUUUUUUUUUUUAAUAAUUUUAUUUAUUUUUUCCCCCAAAGUCCCAGUAAGUAGAUAGAUAGAUGUAUGUCAUAGCUGCACUUCCUUCUAGUUGCUGUAUGUGGGACGCAGCCUCAGCAUGGCCGGAGAAGCAGUGCGUCGGUGCGCGCCCGGGAUCCGAACCCGGGCCGCCAGCAGUGGAGCACGUGCACUUAACCACUAAGCAACAGGGCCGGCCCUCAUGACAUUCUUCAGACCACAAGACCAUCCUUUCUGUGCUUACCAGAGUCAUGAGCCUCAGGAUCUCAGGUCUAAGGAAGGAAUUCUCUCCAGCAUCCAGGAGGGUAAACAGCAAAAAUCGAUUCCAGGGCUGGGAGGCCACAUGGAGUGCUACGGGAAACAUCAGUCACCCUGGGUUGUUAAUGCUGUUUUUCCAAAGGCCUUGGGACAUUGCUAAAGAGGACUUUCUCCUAUUGGCUCAAAAAGGGGCUGCUCAGCUAGAGGCAGGGCAUUGGACAAGCUGACCCCAGGAGGUUUCUUUCUUUGGGCUUCUAUCCACCUAUGCUGCCUGGCUCAGGGAGACCACAUAUCCCACUAUUGUGGGAAGCAGGCAACAAGAAGGGCUCUGGCACUUAAGAGCUUUGUGACCUUGGCUGGGCAAGUUACUUGACCUUUGUGAACCUUAGUUCCUCAUCUGUAUAAUGGGCAUGACAAUGCCCUUGCAGUGUUGUUAAAAGAACUGAACAAAAUGAGUGUGAAUCACAGAACAGGGGAUGGAACUCUAGAGCAGGUGGGUGGCAGGGCCUGGCCCCCUCCAAUCUCCCCCAUGGGAACAUCAGAAAAUGGAGAGGCUUUCUACCGACAUCUGGGCUCCGGGCAUGCAGGUAGUCAAGCAAGGCCUCCAGGCAGCCAACACAGGCAUGGGACAACAGAGGGUCCUUCUGCAAACAAACAAACAAAACCCACAAAAGUUCAUGUUAGAUUUUGCUACCAAUGAGUUUUGCUGCCAACCAAGAAAAAACAUUUGGUUUUCAGAAUAAUUUGGAUUUUAGAAUUUUGGAUUUGAGAUUGUGGCCCAGUAUUUAAUCAAGAAACGUUUGUUGGUUUCAUCUCUCACCCACACACAGACCACAGUGCUUAUACUAGUGAUUUACCUACCUGCUUUGUUUCAGAAAGAGAGACGAGCCCUGGGCCCCACUAAGAGUUUCAGGGAUUACAGACUCUGUAAGAGCCUCACAGUUUAUCUGAGCCAGUGGAUUUCAACCUUUUUUUAAAGCAGCAGAGCCUUUCACUGAACAAAAUGUUAUGCUCUAAUAAGCAUAUCAAAAGAUCUCAUUAUUAUCAGUCAUUAGGAAAAUGCAAAUUAAAACCACCAUGAGAUACCACUACACACCCACCAAUAGCUAAAAUUAAAAAAUCUGAGAAUACCAAGUGUUGGCCAGAAUGUUGAGCAACUGGAACUCUCAUAUACUUCUGAUGGGAAGGUAAAAUGGUGUAACAACUUUGGAAAAUAGUUUGAUGGUUUCUUAUAAAGUUAAACAUACUUACCAUAUGUGAUAGGCAGAAUUUUAAGAUGGUCCCAUGACCUUUGCUCCCAGAUGUUACUCCUGUGAUUAUGUUACAUUUUACGGCAAAAAGGAGACUGUUUUGAGUGGGCCCAAUAUAAUCACACCAGCCCUUUAAAAGCAGAGUUUUCUCUGGCUGGAGGCAGAAGAACCAUUGAGACUGCAAGUGUGAGAAGGACUCAACGUGCACUGCUGAUUUGAAGAUGGAAGGGCCCAUGUGAAAAAGAAUGUGGGCAACCUUAAAGAGCUGAAAAGAGGCCCCUGAGGAGGAAGCUGAUUCUUUCCCAGAUGUCCAGAUAAGCACCUAGCCUAGCCAACACCUUGAUUACAGUCUUGUGAGACCCUAAGUGAAGAACCUGGUCCAGCCCACCCAGACUUCUGAUAUGGAGAAUUGUGAGAUAAUAAAUGGGUGUUGUGGGGGCUGGCCCCUUGGCAUAGUGGUUAAGUGCGCGUGCUCCGCUGCUGGCGGCCUGGGUUCAGAUCCCAGGCGCGCACCGACACACAGCUUGUCAGACCAUGCUGUGGCGGCGUCCCAUAUAAAGUGGAGGAAGAUGGGCAUGGAUGUUAGCUCAGGGCUAGUCUUCCUCAGCAAAAAGAGGAGGAUUGGCACAGAUGUUAGCUCAGGGCUGAUCUUCCUUACACACACACAAUGAAUAAAUAAAUAUUUAAAAAAAUAAAAAAUAAAAAAAAUAAAUGGGUGUUGUGCUAAGCCAUUAAGUUUGUGGUACCUUGUUACACAGUAAUAGAAAACUAAUAUGUCAUUUGACCCAGCAAUCCCACU